This 300-nucleotide ribosomal RNA is filed under the name Triticum aestivum (bread wheat). Its description in RNAcentral is "partial small subunit ribosomal RNA". Lineage: Eukaryota; Viridiplantae; Streptophyta; Magnoliopsida; Poales; Poaceae. The record is from RNAcentral.
AUGGUGGAUUAUCACAAAAAAUUCACAGCCAUGGGAUAUCGCGUACUUAUUUACAGUGGAGAUCAUGAUCUGUGUAUCCCUUUCACUGGAACGGAGGCAUGGGUCAGAUCAUUAGGCUACCGAGUUGUCGAUUCAUGGCAACCAUGGCACUUUGGGGGUCAAGUUGCUGGAUAUACACAAGGCUAUGAUCACAAUCUCACCUUCCUCACCAUAAAGGGAUCUGGACACACUGUUCCUGAGUACAAGCCCAAAGAAUCGCUGGCAUUCUACGCCCACUGGCUGUUUGGACAAAAGAUCUAA